CUCCCUCAGGAAAGCUGAGUCAGCCAUCUUGAAUUUACCUUGAUGCGGGGAAGAUUUGGCCAGCCCGUGUGGAUUAAGAGUCCCCAACUUCAACCCACCACGACCAGCACCUUAAUUUUUUUUCAUCAACUGCCCUAAAUUUGUUUAGAGGGGUAUUCCACUAAGCGAGCUCUACAAGUCAAGGCUGGGCAGUGGGUCCAUGAAUAAACUGCCUCACUCCUGCAGGUGUCUUUCCAUACUUCCCAUCGUUCAAGAACCAAAAGAUGGCUGCUGCCCAGAAGCAUGUGCUGCGUGUGUAUGUUGAACGAGACACCGCCCUGAAACUUACUCUACUUGAGCGACCAAAGUCAGUGGAGGAGCUGAAAGAAAUAAUUUAAGAGAGGUUCAAGCCAAGACAGAAUGGGGACUUUAGCCUUCACUAUGUCCUCAUGGACACAACCUAUGCCCUAUGUCGCCAAGAAAUUGUUGGAGCUGUUGGAGCUCCACGAGUGAGAGACGUCGUGGACAGAUGGCCAGGCCUACUUAUGGAGUCACAGGUAAAAAAUAAAAUAUAAAAUAUGUGUAUAUAUGUAUGUAUAUAUACAUGUAUGUGUGUGUGUGUGUGUGUGUGUGUGUGUGUGUCUGUCUCUUUACUGUUCUCCCAGUUUUUAAAAGUCUAGAUUUUCAAACAAUUUACCAAAAAGCAAAUGACAGAUGUAAAAUGACAACACAUCACUCUGUGACGUAUUUUUUUCC
Molecule: long non-coding RNA, 735 nt
Organism: Oreochromis aureus
Lineage: Eukaryota; Metazoa; Chordata; Actinopteri; Cichliformes; Cichlidae
Exons: 3
Source: RefSeq, a predicted model, not a curated record